This 398-nucleotide ribosomal RNA is filed under the name uncultured bacterium. RNAcentral's name for it is "bacterial SSU rRNA". It matches the Rfam family "Bacterial small subunit ribosomal RNA", at positions 32 to 424 of the family's 1533-position model. The record is from RNAcentral.
AAUCAACGCUGGCGGCGUGCCUAACACAUGCAAGUCGAACGCGAAAGUCCCGCAAGGGGCAAGUAGAGUGGCGCACGGGUGAGUAACACGUGGAUAACCUGCCUUCGAGGUGAGGAAUAACCUUCCGAAAGGAGGGCUAAUACCGCAUAACACCUUGAGACAAAAGUUUCGAGGUUAAAAGGAGCAAUUCGCUGGAAGAGGGGUCCGCGCCUGAUUAGCUAGUUGGUGAGGUAACGGCUCACCAAGGCUGUGAUCAGUAGCCGUCCUGAGAGGGAGCACGGGCCACACUGGAACUGAGACACGGUCCAGACUCCUACGGGAGGCAGCAGUGGGGAAUUUUGGCAAUGGGCGAAAGCCUGACCAAGCAACGCCGCGUGGGUGAUGAAGUAUCUUGGUAC